This 69-nucleotide small nucleolar RNA is filed under the name Notamacropus eugenii (tammar wallaby). Its description in RNAcentral is "Small nucleolar RNA SNORD63 (ENSMEUG00000017464.1)". It matches the Rfam family "Small nucleolar RNA SNORD63". From Rfam's summary of the family: snoRNA U63 is found in both humans and mice. U63 is a member of the C/D class of snoRNA which contain C (UGAUGA) and D (CUGA) box motifs. Lineage: Eukaryota; Metazoa; Chordata; Mammalia; Diprotodontia; Macropodidae. The record is from RNAcentral.
GUGCUGUGAUGUUUCUGACAACCCUUCAUUCUGAAGAAAAAAAUGUGGUAACUUCUAAAACUGAGCACA